Molecule: ribosomal RNA, 230 nt
Filed under: uncultured bacterium
Lineage: Bacteria
Description: partial 16S ribosomal RNA
Rfam family: Bacterial small subunit ribosomal RNA
Source: RNAcentral
AAAGCGUGCGCAGGCGGUUUUGUAAGUCUGAUGUGAAAUCCCCGGGCUCAACCUGGGAAUUGCAUUGGAGACUGCAAGGCUAGAAUCUGGCAGAGGGGGGUAGAAUUCCACGUGUAGCAGUGAAAUGCGUAGAUAUGUGGAGGAACACCGAUGGCGAAGGCAGCCCCCUGGGUCAAGAUUGACGCUCAUGCACGAAAGCGUGGGGAGCAAACAGGAUUAGAUACCCCAGA